ACAUACACCGCCCCCUCCUCCCCCCCACACAAGCACACACAUACAUAUCCUCCCGCUUGCACGCACUGCAUCGCACAAAAACUGCGCGUACAGUCAUAUCUUUCUUCACCAAACUCCGCCCGAAUGAAUCAUAUUAAUCAAUCAAGUUUCGAAGAUAAUCCAGAAAACGUAGACAGCAUCGUAAAAACGAUGUCAGUUAUAUUAAGAGACCAGAAAUGCAACAAGAAAAUAGCAAAGAUAACAGAACAAAAGCACAAAUAUAACACAAAAGAUGAAAAUGAAGAUAAAGACGAUCAAAUGAUUAAUUGUUUAAUGCGACAGUUGACGUCUAAAAAAUUAUUAAAAGAUGAAUGGGAAAACGAAGAUGAUGUCAUGAAUAAUUUUUAUUUGGUAAAUAAAGGAUCUAAGAAAAUAAAAAAAUUAAAAGAACAUGGUCAUUCAGCUUCAUUAAAUGAUGAUUUAAGUCCAUUACAGUAUGAAAGAACUAAAUUUGUUCCUACAUUACCUAAAGUGUUAGCAUGUGAAUAUAAAGAAUUGAUAGAAAAUUAUGGAGAUGAUUAUAUAAAUCGAACAGAUUAUGAUGAAGUCAAAACUUUUUUUAAAAAUCUGACUGAUUUACCAAUGAUAAGCUUAAAAGAAACUACAAGUAGUGAAUCAUUUAAAGGUGGUAAUAUAUUAAAAAUAGGUAUUAUACUAUCUGGUGGUCCAGCCCCAGGUGGUCAUAAUGUUAUAGCUGGUAUAUAUGAUUAUGCUAAAAGAUAUAAUGAACAAUCAACUGUUAUUGGUUUUUUAGGUGGAAUAGAUGGUUUGUAUAGUAAGAAUUUUGUUACUAUUACAGACACAAUGAUGAAUCGUUUUCGUAAUUUAGGUGGUUUUAAUAUGUUAUGGUCUGGUCGUGGUAAAGUAAAAAAUCAAGAUGAUUUAGUUAAAAUAGAACAUGUUGUUACAAAAUUAAAAUUGAAUGGAUUAGUUAUAAUAGGAGGUGACGGUUCUAAUAGCAACGCAGCUAUUAUUGCUGAAUAUAUGAGUGAACGUAAAUUAGGAACUUGUGUGAUAGGUAUACCUAAAACGAUUGAUGGAGAUUUAAAGAGUGAAUCCAUAGAAAUUAGUUUCGGUUUUGAUACUGCUACAAAGACAUAUUCCGAAAUAAUAGGAAAUUUAUGUACAGAUGUGAAGACAGGACAUAAUGUUUAUCAUGUUGUUCGAGUGAUGGGUAGAUCUGCAUCUCAUGUUGUACUAGAAUGUGCAUUACAAACAAGACCAAAUAUUGUAUUACUAGGGGAAGAAGUAGAAAGAGAUAAACUUUCUCUAAAAGAUAUAAUAAAAAAUAGUGUAGAUAUUAUAAUAAAAAGAAGAAAAUUGAACAAAAAUUAUGGUGUUAUUUUAAUACCAGAAGGGUUAAUUGAAUUUAUUCCUGAAAUAAAAGUUUUAAUUGGUGAAUUAAAUGUAAUAUUAAAAGAAAAUGAAAUAUUUGAUGAAUCGAAAUUAAUAAUGUCUAAAGACAUUUGGGAUUUUUUACCAAAAAUUAUUAAAGAUCAGUUACUUAUAGAUAGAGAUGCAACUGGAUAUAUACAAGUUGGAAAAAUAGCUACAGAACGUUUAAUAAUAACAUUACUAGAAUCGGAAUUAUCCAAAAUGGAUGAUACAAAAAAUAGUACUAUUCAAUUUAUGGCACAUUAUUUAGGUUAUGAAGGAAGAUGUACAUUACCUUCAAAUUUUGAUUGUACCUAUUGUUAUGCUUUAGGUUAUAAUGCAGCAUUAUUAAUAGACCAUGAAAGAACAGGUUAUAUGUCUAUUAUUCAAAAUUUACAUGAUAUUUAUGAAAAUUGGAUACCUGGAGGAAUACCAUUUUUAAGAAUUAUGCAUGUAAAUAAAGACAAUGCAGGUAAUAAAUUCCCAGCAGUUAAACGUUAUUUGGUAGAUUUAGAUAGUCCUUUAGUUAAUGUAUUAAAUGAAGUUCGUUCUAUUUGGUCUUUAUAUGAUUUAUAUAGAUCUCCAGGUCCGAUUCAAUUUAAUGGCUAUUUGAGUAAUUCCCGAUGUUAUACUGUAAAAAUACCUACAAAAGAUAUAUUGUUGUGUCGAAAUAAUGAUGACUUACAAUUAAUUAUUAAUUCUACUAAUCAAGAUUUGGAAAAUCUUAAACGAGCUUCAUCUACUGAAGAAUGUGAUGGAGAAUAUAAUAUCAAUAAUGGUGCUUGUGAUAGUUCCGGAUUAAGUGAUAUUUGCUAUGGUUUAAAUUCAUCAAAUGAAACCAUAUUAAAUUUUAAUUUAAAUGUAACAAGUGAUAAAAAAGAUAUAUAUGAAAAAAAUAGUACAUGUUAUAAGUCGUUAGGUUGUAUGUCUGAGCUUCAAACAGCAAGAUUAUAUAGUCGAAUUGAAUUACCAGAAUUAUGUACAGAUUUAAAUGCAAAAGUAAGAGCAGGUAAGCAAUAUAUAUCAAGUGACCCAUAUACACAAAAACAGAUUUUAUCAAAUUAUCCCCAUCUUGCUUAUCAAAAUAAAUUUCAAAUUCAAGAAGUUUUUCAUGAUAAGAAUGCAAUUCCUAUUACUUUUGAAAUAAAAAUUGGUAUCGUUUUUUUAUCUAGACAAGCUCCUGGUGCAAUGAAUGUGUUAUGUGGUUUGUAUAAUCGAUUAAAGUUGUUAAAUGGAGUUUGUAUUGCAUUUUAUGGAUUAUAUGGAUUAUUAAAUAAUAAAUAUGUGAUUAUAAAUGAUGAAAAUAUAGCAAAGCAUAUUAAUCAGGGUGGUUUGGAAUUAACUGGUAAUUCACCGGAACAUUCACUUUUUGAUAAAGAAAAUAGAAACAAGGUUUGUGAAACAGUAACAAACUUACAAUUAAAUGGUUUAGUUAUGCCAGGUUCUAAUAUAACAAUAACAGAAGCUUCUUUAUUAGCAGAAUACUUUUUAGAAAAAAGAAUACCAACUUGUGUAGUUGGUAUUCCUUUAACAGGUUCAAACAAUUUAAUACAUGAAUUGAUUGAAACAUGUGUUGGUUUUGAUAGUAGUACAAAAGUAUAUGCUUCACUUAUAGGUAAUGUAUUAACAGAUGCAGUGAGUAUGCCUAAGUAUUGGCAUUUUAUACGUUUAAUGGGUAGAAGUCCAUCACAUGAAGUAUUGGAAUGUGCAUUACAAACUCAUCCAAAUGUAGUUAUUAUUGCUGAAGAAUAUGGAGCAGCAGAUAAAACAUUAUGGAGGGUAGUACAAGAUAUAGCAGAUGUAGUUUGUGCUAGAGCUGAAUUAGGGAAAAAUUAUGGUACUAUUUUAAUACCUGAUGCAUUAUUUAUGCAUUUACCACAUAUGAAAAUAUUAUUGACUGAAAUAAGUGACAUACUAAAUGAAGCAGCAGAAAAAGGUGAAUUAGAAGAUGCACAAAGUGAAUUAGUAAAUUUGUCUAUAGAUGACAAAAAAAAAACAUUGCUUGGUGAGUUAAAUAGUAGUACUACUCCGACUACGACUACGACUACAACUACGACUCCGACUACUACUCCGACUACUACUACUACUACUACUACUACUAAUGCAAAGUCAUCAUCACAAUGGAUAUCCAAAUUAACACCAUGGAGUUCAGCUUUAUUAAAAACGUUUCCAGAAUUUAUAAUAAAAGAAUUAUUACAAGUAGAUUUAAGAUCUAUGCGUUUUGAAAAACUAGAAACAGAACAAUUGUUAUUACAAAUGGUUAAGGAAGAAUUACAUCAUAGAAAGCAAAAAGGAAAAUACGUGGGUAGUUUUAUGGGUUUAACACAUUUUUUUGGAUAUCAAGGCCGUUCUUCUUUACCAUCUGAAUUUGAUUGUAAGUUAGCAUAUGCAUAUGGACAUGCAGCAUCUAUUGUUAUAGAAUGUAAUUUAACAGGUUAUAUAGUUUCAAUUAGAGGUUUAUGUGGUGCUGUAAAUGAUUGGAAAUUAUUCGCUAUACCUUUAAUAUCUUUGAUGAAAAUAUUACCAAGAGGUCAAGGAAGUAAACAUUUGAAAGGCGCAUCUAAAGGCGAUUUACCAAUUAUUCCAAGUGCACCUGUAGAUUUAAAUGGUAAAGCAUAUCGUAGUUUAAAACUAGCCUUACAAAAAUGGCAAAUAGAAGAUCGUUUUUGUAACCCUGGUCCUAUACAAUUUGAAGGUAAAGCUGCAAACUAUUAUAAUAGGAUAUUAUUUGAGGAACAAUCUGAAUACUUUGAAAUGUUAAGAUAUGUUGAAUGUUAUGCUAAUAUCUUAAAAGAUACAUGUCGUUUUGGUGUUUCUGCUGAUUAUCUCAAAACAGUGUUUGUCCACUUGAGUGGAAUGUUAGUUUUAGCGUAUAAGCCUAACGACUUGUUGUCGAGUAUGCCUUACUUGGGGAGUAUAGAGGAUUAUUAUGAUUGGGAAAACCAGAGUAAGCGGUUGUAAACACACAUUGGGGGGAUAGUACAUGACCAUGUGGGGUGUUACUUCAUUGUGUUUUGAAAAACAUGGACUGGUCUGGGCUGGGAUAAAUUAGGCUGGAUUGGAAUAAGUUGGGCAUGCGUGCGUGCGUGCGUGCGUGUGUGUGUGUUCGUAUAAUUAAAUAAGAACUUUUUUUUUUUUCUUUUUUUUUUUUUUCUUUUUUUUUUUUUUUUCUUUUUUUUAACUAUGGUUCACGAUCUGGGAAGCUUUAUAUAUCAGUGCGACGUAUCAGUAGUGGUAAUAUUAGUGGUGAUUGUAUAAUAACAAUUUUCACAGAGUGAGUUCAUAUUAUUAAAAAAAAGAAAGAAUAAUUUCGUUUUGUUCCAUUUUAUGGUAUAUGGCCGUAUUUUCUUAUAUAUAUAUAUAUAUAUAUACCUUUAUAUGGAUUUUAUUCUUCCUUAUUUUAUCUUUUUAAAAAAUUAAAAAUUUAUUUUCUUGUUUAUAUAUAGUGCCUGUAUAAUUGUUGUGUAUUUAUUUAUGUAUUAGUGUUUUUUUUUUUUUUUUUUUUUUUUUUUUUUUUUUUUUUUUUUUUUUUUCCAUAGAGUAAUCAUCUGAAUGUGAUUUUAAUAUGAAUACAUAUAUUCAGUUUACAUAUUCAAUGGCUCGCUUAUUUUAUCUUCUAUUUAUUCAUGUAAUCAUGUAUACACAUUUAAAUGUCCUAAUUUUUAACAUCACGCGUUUAUUCAAAAAAAAAAAAAGCAUUUUUUAAAUUAAAAAAAAUAAAAUAAAAUAAAAUAAAAUAAUAAUUAGCUAU
Long non-coding RNA from Piliocolobus tephrosceles (Ugandan red Colobus), 5164 nucleotides. The record is from Ensembl. Lineage: Eukaryota; Metazoa; Chordata; Mammalia; Primates; Cercopithecidae.